UGGGGAAUUUUGGACAAUGGGGGAAACCCUGAUCCAGCCAUGCCGCGUGAGUGAAGAAGGCCUUCGGGUUGUAAAACUCUUUCAGCCGGAACGAAAAGGUCACGGCUAAUACCCGUGACAAAUGACGGUACCGGAAGAAGAAGCACCGGCUAACUACGUGCCAGCAGCCGCGGUAAUACGUAGGGUGCAAGCGUUAAUCGGAAUUACUGGGCGUAAAGCGUGCGCAGGCGGUUUUGUAAGUCAGAUGUGAAAUCCCCGGGCUUAACCUGGGAACUGCGUUUGAAACUACAAGGCUAGAGUGUGGCAGAGGGGGGUGGAAUUCCACGUGUAGCAGUGAAAUGCGUAGAGAUGUGGAGGAACACCGAUGGCGAAGGCAGCCCCCUGGGUUAACACUGACGCUCAGGCACGAAAGCGUGGGGAGCAAACAGGAUUAGAUACCCUGGUAGUCCACGCCCUAAACGAUGUCAACUAGUUGUCGGGUCUUAACGGGCUUGGUAACGCAGCUAACGCGUGAAGUUGACCGCCUGGGGAGUACGGUCGCAAGAUUAA
RNAcentral lists this ribosomal RNA (549 nucleotides) under uncultured Nitrosospira sp. Its description in RNAcentral is "bacterial SSU rRNA". It matches the Rfam family "Bacterial small subunit ribosomal RNA", at positions 355 to 897 of the family's 1533-position model. The record is from RNAcentral. Lineage: Bacteria; Pseudomonadati; Pseudomonadota; Betaproteobacteria; Nitrosomonadales; Nitrosomonadaceae.